CCGAAGCCUGUGGUCGUUUGAUCACUAGGCAAUGUGGUGUUCAGGUCGUUCCGCAGAGGUACUGCUCCAUCCUAAGUCCAUUAAUGAGUACGGCUUUCUGGACGUGGCCCGCAGGGGGUGACAGGCCCGUGGGGGUGGAGACUCGGCAGGCCAGUAUCUCUCUGGGUAGACCUUGGAGUCGGGUUGUUUGUGAAUGCAGCCCAAAGUGGGUGGUAAACUCCAUCCAAGGCUAAAUACAAGCACGAGUCCGAUAGCGAACAAGUACCGUGAGGGAAAGUUGAAAAGUACUUUGAAGAGAGAGUAAACAGUGCGUGAAACCGCUCAGAGGUAAACGGGUGGAGUUGAACUGCAAUCUCUGUGGAUUCAGCUGGUGAGUAUGGUUUGGGCUUGGCCAAAUGGGUUGAGCUGCGGGGUCUGCUUAUUCGCAGGUCUUUGUCUUCGGGCAGGGAUGCACGAUGCACCUACCAUGUGCUGUGCGCCUCGUGGUUUCGAAUCUGCUCGCUAGUGCACUUUCGCAGGGUGUUCACCACGACCGGCAUUGCUGUCUGGCUAUUGUGGUUAAACCGGUCUUGCAUUGUCCUUGUGGCUUUGCUUGGUCGGGACGGCAGGUAGCUCGUUGGUUGUUCGUAGCUUGCUGCGUUCGGCCUCGGGUGUAAUCAGCUGACUUCAAUGGUUCUGUGCAGUAUGUCGGGGACGGCGGCUUGUUGUGUGUGCGUGCGUGCCGGUCUCAUGGGCGUGCUCGGGUAUGACUGUCAUGUUGCUUGCGUAAGCAGGCCUGGUGGUUGCUCGGGUUUGUUCUGUGGGUGGUUGCGUGCGUGGCACUAUACAGGGCCAAUAGUCUGUGGUGUAGUGGUAGACGAUCCACCCGACCCGUCUUGAAACACGGACCAAGGAGAGUAACAUGUGCGCGAGUCAUUGGGCGAAACGAAACCCAAAGGCGCAGUGAAAGUAAAGGCUUGGCUUUGUCCUUGCUGAGGUGAGAUCCUGUCGUUUCUCAUGCGUGGUACUACCAAGCAUCGAGCGGUGGGCGCAUCACCGGCCCGUCUCAUGACGUAGACACAUAGUCUUCGGACCAGUGCACCGUCGGGGCGGAGCAUGAGCGUAC
This 1105-nucleotide ribosomal RNA is filed under the name Saccocoelioides lamothei. RNAcentral's name for it is "partial large subunit ribosomal RNA". It matches the Rfam family "Eukaryotic large subunit ribosomal RNA", at positions 114 to 805 of the family's 3401-position model. Lineage: Eukaryota; Metazoa; Platyhelminthes; Trematoda; Plagiorchiida; Haploporidae. The record is from RNAcentral.